Sciurus carolinensis (gray squirrel) is the source of this 666-nucleotide long non-coding RNA. RefSeq lists it as uncharacterized. The transcript has 3 exons. Lineage: Eukaryota; Metazoa; Chordata; Mammalia; Rodentia; Sciuridae. The record is from RefSeq and is a predicted model, not a curated record.
GGACAUCCUGGCCUUCUAGAGCCCCAGGAUUUCUUGGCUCUGGGCUCCUCCACAGGAUGGUUCGGGUCUGUCCACUCUGUACCUUCCCAGUAAUGACUAUGUGCCAGGACCUAGGCCACAGGAUAAAGGCUAGGAGCCCAGCAGAGUGCAGCGCUGGCUUCCAAUGUCCCACCUGCAUGGGGUGAUAACCAGGCUCGGCUCAGGGCAAGAGGAAGGAGAGAGAGGGCAAGGCCCAGCGAGCAACACUGCUGCUGUUCUCACCCUUGUUCCACGCUCUCCUCACUGCAGUUCAUAAGGAGGACACCAUCCUGCCUCCAGCCCACAGGUAGUCAAGGUGGCUCCUGAUACCAUGUUGGACAAUUCGAGGAGGAGGACUCAGUAGAAGCACUACACAGAGGAGACCAAGAGCAAGAAGAGACCCCCAACCACUGGAGCUGCGGGGGGCCACCCAGUUCACUGCCAGCUACGAGCUCUGGGUGGGAAUACCCUGUCUCAGGACACCUGGGCGCUAUCAGCCUGACCCAGGGUCUGGGAGCUUGGCCACAUGCAGUCCUGGCUCACUCAGAGAGGGAACUCAGUUCCUGUGUGUCACCUCUAGCCAGCAUGUCCUCUGCAGGGCCCCCAGAGGCACAUCUUCACACAGCUCUCUCCCAUGUCACAGAGUCG